GCACUGGCAGAACGUUAAACCGCUUAAGUUCUUGAUAGUAGUUACCAUCAAAAGUGAUGUUAAAACUAUUAACGGUGC
RNAcentral lists this non-coding RNA (78 nucleotides) under Fischerella muscicola SAG 1427-1 = PCC 73103. RNAcentral describes it as "Fischerella muscicola SAG 1427-1 CyVA-1 RNA". It matches the Rfam family "CyVA-1 RNA". Rfam says of the family: Cyanobacteria, Acidobacteria (1 example), Verrucomicrobia (1 example). Big IGRs The record is from Rfam by way of RNAcentral. Lineage: Bacteria; Bacillati; Cyanobacteriota; Cyanophyceae; Nostocales; Hapalosiphonaceae.